CCUACGGGUGGCAGCAGUGGGGAAUAUUGCACAAUGGGGGAACCCUGAUGCAGCGACGCCGCGUGAGUGAAGAAGUAUUUCGGUAUGUAAAGCUCUAUCAGCAGGAACGAGACAAGACGGUACCUGACUAAGAAGCCCCGGCUAACUACGUGCCAGCAGCCGCGGUAAUACGUAGGGGGCAAGCGUUAUCCGGAAUCACUGGGUGUAAAGGGGGCGUAGACGGCUGUGCAAGCCUGAAGUGAAAGGCGGGGGCCCAACCCCUGGACUGCUUUGGGAACUGUACGGCUGGAGUGCAGGAGAGGUAAGUGGAAUUCCUAGUGUAGCGGUGAAAUGCGUAGAUAUUAGGAGGAACACCAGUGGCGAAGGCGGCUUACUGGACUGUAACUGACGUUGAGGCUCGAAAGCGUGGGGAGCAAACAGGAUUAGAUACCCGAGUAGUC
RNAcentral lists this ribosomal RNA (440 nucleotides) under uncultured bacterium. RNAcentral's name for it is "partial 16S ribosomal RNA". It matches the Rfam family "Bacterial small subunit ribosomal RNA", at positions 338 to 795 of the family's 1533-position model. The record is from RNAcentral.